This 4946-nucleotide long non-coding RNA is filed under the name Marmota monax (woodchuck). The record is from RNAcentral. Lineage: Eukaryota; Metazoa; Chordata; Mammalia; Rodentia; Sciuridae.
UGAUGGAUACUGAAAUUUGAAGUUAAAAAAAAGUUGAAAUUCAUAGAAUUUUCACAGAUCACAAACCAUUUUUAUUCUUCUAUCAUUUAUAAAUGUAAAAAAAAAAGUCUUGACUCAUAGAUAGUAUGAAAAUAAAGGUGGUAGACAGGAUUUAGCCACAGGCUGUACUCUGCCAGUCCCUGGUCUAUUUGACAGAGGCUGAACUUUGGGGUCAGGCAGACUAUGAUUUGAAUUGCGUUAGUCACUCUGUGACCUUGGGUAGGUUACAUAAUCCUCUUCAACUUCAGACCUUGAAGAGUUGCUGUGAACAUUAGCGAUAACUUAUGUAAAGUUUCUGGCAUGCAGAGAGCCCUUAGUAAAUGUGAGUUCCUUUUUGAUUUCUUGAUUUGAAGAUCUUUCCCACACUAGAGUUCAGUAACCGGGAGCACAAAGUCCAUCUUGAAGACUUUUUAGGGCAAAGAAGAUAGAGAAGUGGAUAUAGGCUGGUUUCAGCAGAUUCAGCAGAUUCAGUCUACUCUUUGCCCUGAUUGCAAAUGCACAUAUGUGUGCAGAGAACUUCCAUGUUUACAUAUGAUGACAGAUGAGAAAAUGCCUCUUUAUGAUGACAGAGAGAAAAUGAUCUCUCACAGUGUCCAAAUAUAAGAGGUCCUGAAUUUUAUGUUGUACGGGAGAUGCCUCCAAUUGAGCUUUCUUUGUCCUUUAUAAUUUUUACAGUGCUUUAGAGUGUAAGUUUUUUUUUUAAAUCAGGAAGUUUUAACUAAAGGAAAAAAAUCAGUGUGGAUUGUAUCUUCUGCAAAAGAGACAUCUCAGUGCUCUGUCACAAAGGGCCGGGGGCGACAACCCCUUGGAUGAGGGAUUUUUUCAGACUCUUCUCAACUCAUCCAAUUUCUUCUCCAGACAGAUCCCAUGCUUGGAUAUUCCAACCUAUCAUGGAAUUUAAAAUGAUCUAUGUGUGUCUUAAUCAAUAUGGAGAGGCUAUAACAAAAUAUCUGCAAUUGAGUAAUUUAUAGAGAACAAAAAUUUAUUUCUCAUGGUUCUGGAAGCUGGGAAGUUCAAGACCAAGAUGGUGGUGUCUGGUGAGGGCUGCUCUCUGCUUCCAAGAUGGGACCUUGAAUGCUGUGUCCUCACGUGGUAAAGAGCACAAUCACACAAAGAAGCCUUUUUUAUAAUGGCAUUGACACAUUAGUGAGGGUGGAGUCCUCAUGAUCUAAACACCUCCCAAAGGGUUCCACCUCUCCACACAUUUAAGUUUCCAAUGUGUGAAUUUUAUCUUGCUUCUUCAUCAUCUAGAUUAAAAAAAAAUUUGUAGUUGUUUAUUUUUAUGUGGUGCCUGAUGCAUGCUAGGCAAGGGCUCUGCUUGCUACAGCCCCAGCCCCUCAUCUAGAUUUUACUGAUUACAGUCUAGAUUACAGUCUGUAUGUGUGUGUGUGUGUGUGUGUGCUAUGUGAGAGAUUCAAAUAACUUUCAGAAUGUAAUUUCUCCAUUAACAUUCAAGUAAUCGUCUUUUAUUUGCUCAGACACUCAGUCAUUCACCUUCAGUCAGUCUGGGUUAAGAAAAGUUGCUGAGUGUGUGAGCUCAGGGAAGAUCUCACUCAUGCUAUGGGAGGCUACGUGACAGACAGGAUGUCUGCAGGGAGUUUAUCAAUUUGGUCUUGGUUUUAAGAGCAGAAUUCUUAGGUAUCAAACUGACUAAGGUCCAGAUCUCUAGUCUGGCUAUAAUCUGGGGUCAUUUGACCUCUACAGGUCUUGCCUCCUCGUCUGUGAAGUGGGAAAAUGAAUACCUCACAAUGAGUUUGUAAGAAGGCAAGUGCAUAUUUUACCAACUAUGCUUCAGAGACGAUGGCUAGUAUCAAUAAUAAGCAAUUAACAGACCUAUCAGGCAAGAUGGGCUGAAUUACACUGUGGAAAAACAUACCCUGAUUCCCAGUGGCUCAUUGCUUUCUUUAUUUCUUACCUGCUUAUGCUCUAUAGCCCUUGCUCUGUUAUCAAUCCCAAAGGCAUCUAUCUUCCUUUGAGACUCAGGAUGACUGAUAUGUUUCUAUCUGGAACAUCAAAUAGAAGUAGAAUAAAAAGAGAACUUAGCAAAUCCCAAACUGGCUUUUAUUUUCCUUUAGAGGACAAGCAUGACUUGUUUUAUUGAGUUUUGCUUUAUUGAAAUUCAUAUGUUGCCUUUCCUGAAAAUUGAAGAUUUGUGGCAACCCUGUACCCAGCAAGGACAUUGGUCCCAUUCCCCCAACAUUCAGAUGAUCUUUAGCAUUUUUUCCAAUAAAGUAUCUUUUAUUUCUUUUUUUUUUGAGCUGGUACAUUAUAAUUAUAUAUAACAGUGAAGUUCAUUGUUACGUUUUCACAUGUGCAUAUAAUAGAACAAUAAAAUCAGGUCAAUUCUGUUCCCCAACACCUCUCCUUUUCCCUCCUUCUUCUCCCUGGUCAUCUUCCUCUAUUCUACUAGUCUCCCUUCUAUUUUCAUGAGGUUCUCCCCCGCCCCCACUUUUUAAAAUUUUUUCUCUCUCUAGAUUCCAUACAUGAGAGAAAAAUUUGACCCUUGACUUUCUGAGUUUGUCUUAUUUCAUUUAAUACAAUGUCCUCAAGUUCAAUGCAUUUCCCUACAAGUUACAUAAUUUAAUUCUUUAUGGCUGAUUAAAACUGCAUUGUGUAUAUCACCACAUUUUCUUUAUUCAUGUAUCAGUUGAGGGACACUUAGUCUGGUCACAUAAUUUGGCCAUUGUGAAUUGUGCUGCUAUAAACGUUGGUAUGCAUGUAUCACUAUAGUAUGCUGAUUUUAAUUUUUUUUAUGAUAAAAAGAGGAAUGGUGUAGUUGGGUCAUAUAAUGAUUCCAUUCCUGGUCUUCUGUGGAAACUCCAUACUGAUUUCCAUAGUGGUUGUACUGAUUUACAAUCCCACCAACGGUGUCAAAGUGUUCCUUUCUCCCCACACUCUCUCUAGCAUUUAUUAGUAUUUGUAUUCUUGGUGGCUGCCAUUCUCACAGGAGUGAGGAGAAAUUCAGUGUGGUUUUGAUUUGCAUUUCCCUGAUUGCUAAAGAUGUUGGACUCUUUUUUGUAUAUUUGUUUGGCAUUUGUAUUUUUUCUCUUUGAGAAGUGUCUGUUUAGUUCAUUUAUUAUUAUUAUGAUUGAGUUAUUUGAUUUGGUUAUUUGGUUUUUCUUUGGGUGUUAACUUUUUAAAGUUCUCUUUUUUUAAAAAUAUUUAUUUAUUUUUCUUUUAGUUUUCGGCGGACAGGACAUCUUUGUUUGUAUGUGGUGCUGAGGAUCGAACCCGGGCCGCACCCAUGCCAGGCGAGCGCGCUACCGCUUGAGCCAUAUCCCCAGCCCUAAAGUUCUUUAUAUAUUCUGAAAAUUAAUUCUCUGUCAGAAAAUAGUUGGCAAAGAUUUUCUCCCAUUCUGUAGGUUUUUUCUUCAUGCUCUUGUUUUCUUUGCCGUGCAGAAGCUUUUUGAUUUGAUGCCACCCCCACUUAUUAAUUCUUGGUAUCCAUUCUUGAGCUGUCAGAGUCCUAAGGAGUUGUUACCUGCACUUGUUGUUGGAGUGCCAAAUUGGCUUUUAGAGGUGAUAAGCUUUACAUCUCCUCGAAGUCCAAUGGCCAACUCAGGUCACGUGGGCAAGCCUGACCCGACUGGGAAGAGAAAACUCCCCUAGGCAAAGACAACCCAUAUUUGGAAACACUAUUACAAUUUACCAUAAUUUAUAUGCAAAAUAACUUGUAGGAAGUGUAAGAAAGUGGGGCACAGAAAAGACAUGUAAUGCUGUAUAAAUAUUAGCCUUGAGUAUGCUUUUAGACUUGAUUGCUUCCAAAAUACACGAUUCUUUAAGAAUUUCCUGAGAAAGGCUUAUCAUUGUCACUCUCUUGUCAGGUUGGUAAAAAACCAAAGAUUACUGUACAUACACUCCCAAGAGUCAACAAAUACAGCCUUCUGCCACCGCCAAGCUUCUAUUUGUCUUCUUCAAGGCCUGCAGAGGCAAAAAAUGACCAAAGCUAAUAAUUCAUUUUUGUCAGCCAACUUAGGUUUUUAAAAUGAAUUUGGAGAAGUCAAUAGCAUCCUAGAGACAUUAGUUUAAGUGUGAGCACAUGCCAAUCUUUUGCAUCAGGUAGGGUCCUUUAGUUACCAAGAACAGAAUCAUUUUAAGGGAAAAAAAAAGCAUAUAAUAACAGCAUUCAGGUAGCUCAGAAAAUUUCCAGGAAAGGUUUGAACUUAGAAACAAUGAGUGAAUUGCAUUGAUCAUGUUGCUGGAUUGUUCCAGUAGAAAACUGCUGCCAACCUUGGGCAUAAGGCACUGCUUUUGGAACUUCUGCCAAGUUAACCUUGGAAGCUAGAGGCUUCACUUCCUGGUGUUCUGCCACCUUGCCAGAAUGGAUCAUGGGUGACUUCCUCCUAUUUUUUUUUUUGGGGGGGUGUGUACCAGUGAUUGAACUCAGGGGCACUUGACCACUGAGCCACAUCUCCUGCCCCAUGUUGUAUUUUAUUUAGAGACAGGGUCUCACUGAAUUGCUUAGGUCCUCGAUAAGUUGCUGAGGCUGGCUUUGAACUUGUGACCUUUUGUCUCAGCCUCCUGAGCUGCUGGGAUUCCAGGCCUCCUAGUUUUUAAUUUUUAAUUUCUUUCUGACAAUCUCUUCCAAAUCAAAAUCUUGUGCCCUCCCCCAUCUUAACCAAAUGAUCACAUAUAGCAUCCCAAACAGUGAGAAAAUCUGAUAUGGCAUGUUCCAUGUAGCCUGAUGCAUUAUGACCAAUAUAGCUUCUCCUGUGAGAUGCUCUUUUAUCAGGAAUCAUAACAUCUGGCUGUCUUUAUUUUAUUUUUUAUUUUUUGGUGUCAGGAAUUGAACCCAGGCCUUGGGGGUGCUCAGCAUGCACUCUACCAUUGAGUGACACCCCCAGCUGGUUGUCUUUAUUUGUGUGAUGAUAGCACCUGUUCAUAAUCAUUGCCUAGAUACGUUAAUU